This 248-nucleotide ribosomal RNA is filed under the name uncultured Acetitomaculum sp. Its description in RNAcentral is "partial 16S ribosomal RNA". It matches the Rfam family "Bacterial small subunit ribosomal RNA", at positions 524 to 771 of the family's 1533-position model. The record is from RNAcentral. Lineage: Bacteria; Bacillati; Bacillota; Clostridia; Lachnospirales; Lachnospiraceae.
UACGUAUGGAGCAAGCGUUAUCCGGAUUUACUGGGUGUAAAGGGAGCGUAGGCGGCAGGGCAAGUCUGGUGUGAAACUCCGGGGCUCAACCCCGGACUUGCAUUGGAAACUGUCAGGCUGGAGUGCGGGAGAGGCAGGCGGAAUUCCUAGUGUAGCGGUGAAAUGCGUAGAUAUUAGGAGGAACACCAGUGGCGAAGGCGGCCUGCUGGACCGUAACUGACGCUGAGGCUCGAAAGCGUGGGGAGCGA